Molecule: ribosomal RNA, 526 nt
Filed under: uncultured bacterium
Lineage: Bacteria
Description: partial 16S ribosomal RNA
Rfam family: Bacterial small subunit ribosomal RNA
Source: RNAcentral
UGGGGAAUAUUGCACAAUGGGCGCAAGCCUGAUGCAGCCAUGCCGCGUGUGUGAAGAAGGCCUUCGGGUUGUAAAGCACUUUCAGCGAGGAGGAAGGUGGUGAGCUUAAUACGCUCAUCAAUUGACGUUACUCGCAGAAGAAGCACCGGCUAACUCCGUGCCAGCAGCCGCGGUAAUACGGAGGGUGCAAGCGUUAAUCGGAAUUACUGGGCGUAAAGCGCACGCAGGCGGUUUGUUAAGUCAGAUGUGAAAUCCCCGGGCUCAACCUGGAACUGCAUUUGAAACUGGCAAGCUAGAGUCUCGUAGAGGGGGGUAGAAUUCCAGGUGUAGCGGUGAAAUGCGUAGAGAUCUGGAGGAAUACCGGUGGCGAAGGCGGCCCCCUGGACGAAGACUGACGCUCAGGUGCGAAAGCGUGGGGCAGCAAACAGGAUUAGAUACCCUGGUAGUCCACGCUGUAAACGAUGUCGAUUUUGGAGGUUGUGCCCUUGAGGCGUGGNUUCCGGAGCUAACGCGUUAAAGUCGACCG